GACGAACGCUGGCGGCGUGCUUAACACAUGCAAGUCGAACGGGCCCGCCCCUGUUUUUGGGGGUGGGUUGAGUGGCGAACGGGUGAGUAUCACGUGAGUAACCUGCCCCCUGCUCCUGGAUAACUGCUUGAAAGGGCGGCUAAUACGGGGUGUGCCGGCUGGUCCGCAUGGGCCUGGUCGGGAUAGUUUCAUCUUCGGGUGUUUCGGUGGGGGAUGGGCUCGCGGCCUAUCAGCUUGUUGGUGGGGUGAUGGCCCACCAAGGCGGUGACGGGUAGCCGGCCUGAGAGGGUGGGCGGCCACACUGGGACUGAGACACGGCCCAGACGCCUGCGGGAGGCAGCAGUGGGGGGUAUUGCACAAUGGGCGGAAGCCUGAUGCAGCGACGUCGCGUGAGGGAUGGAGGCCUUCGGGUUGUGAACCUCUUUCUCCGGUGGUGAAGGCCCUGUCCGUUGCGGCGGGGUUGACGGUAGCCGGGUAUGAAGCGCCGGCUAACUACGUG
Molecule: ribosomal RNA, 499 nt
Filed under: uncultured bacterium
Lineage: Bacteria
Description: partial 16S ribosomal RNA
Rfam family: Bacterial small subunit ribosomal RNA
Source: RNAcentral